RNAcentral lists this ribosomal RNA (495 nucleotides) under uncultured bacterium. RNAcentral's name for it is "partial 16S ribosomal RNA". It matches the Rfam family "Bacterial small subunit ribosomal RNA", at positions 30 to 507 of the family's 1533-position model. The record is from RNAcentral.
UGACCGCUGGCGGCGUGCCUAAUACAUGCAAGUCGAGCGCACAGACGAGGAGCUUGCUCCUCUGACGUUAGCGGCGGACGGGUGAGUAACACGUGGAUAACCUACCUAUAAGACUGGGAUAACUUCGGGAAACCGGAGCUAAUACCGGAUAAUAUAUUGAACCGCAUGGUUCAAUAGUGAAAGACGGUUUUGCUGUCACUUAUAGAUGGAUCCGCGCCGCAUUAGCUAGUUGGUAAGGUAACGGCUUACCAAGGCAACGAUGCGUAGCCGACCUGAGAGGGUGAUCGGCCACACUGGAACUGAGACACGGUCCAGACUCCUACGGGAGGCAGCAGUAGGGAAUCUUCCGCAAUGGGCGAAAGCCUGACGGAGCAACGCCGCGUGAGUGAUGAAGGUCUUCGGAUCGUAAAACUCUGUUAUUAGGGAAGAACAAAUGUGUAAGUAACUAUGCACGUCUUGACGGUACCUAAUCAGAAAGCCACGGCUAACUACGUG